Molecule: long non-coding RNA, 1136 nt
Organism: Coffea arabica (coffee)
Lineage: Eukaryota; Viridiplantae; Streptophyta; Magnoliopsida; Gentianales; Rubiaceae
Source: RefSeq, a predicted model, not a curated record
AAAUACAUGACCGACCAGAUCCCCGUUUGCAUCCUUAUCUCUCCAACUUCUUUCUUUGUGAGUCUCCCCAAUUUCUUCGUUCUAUUACUGGGGUUUUGUAUCGAAGAACUCUUGCAACUGUGGUCCUGCAUUUGUUCAUUUCCAUUGUGUCGCAGCAAUUGUGUCUUUAGAUUUUCUAUCGAAGAACUGCUGGUAUUGUGGUCCUGCAUUUGUGCUUUCACAUUGUGCAAUGGAUUGUUGGUUUAUGGUUUGCCAUAACUGGAAAAAGGAAGCCGUAGAUGGUUGUGCUCAUUGAUUUCCUGUACCGAUCAAAAACAACCUUCGCUCAGUGUUGACUUGGUGGACGGCCAUCACAUUAGUUUGCUAAGAGAUGUCUCGUACAAAAAGGCUUGGUAUGCAAGGCGUCGUGCGAUUGACAUCGUAUACGGUGAUUGGCCCACUUCAAUAGCACAACUACCAAUUGUCAUGCAAGAGUUGGUACUGGCUAAUCCGGAUACAGUUGUGGUAUGGCAGCAUCAUCUACAAAGUACUGUUGGAUGUACAGUUUUUCACCAUGUGUUUUGGGCAUUUGGACUCGUUAUCGAGGCAUUUCGACACCUGAAACCAGUUAUUUGUGUUGAUGGCACAUUCAUGAAAGGGACAUACAAGUCAAAGUUAUUAGUAGCAGUUGGAUUUGAUGCUAGCAAUGUCAAUUUUCGCUUGCUUUCGCACUUGUUGAUGAGGAGACCAAUUGGAGUUGGUCUUGGUUUAUGUCCCAAUUAUGCCACCACAUGUGUCGAGAAGUUGAAAAUAUAUGCAUCAUUUCAGAUCGCCACAGGGGGAUAAAUGCAAUAAAACCUUGCCAGAGUGGAAGGAGCCGCUUGCAGUGCAUCGAUAUUGUUUGGUCCACGUGCAAAGCAAUUUCAGAUUUUUUUUAUCAGAAAAAGAAACAAUUAACAUGUUGUGCAUAUUUUGAUAGAAUCCUGUUAGACCAUACGUAGUUAGCUCUGUACGUGGAUAGGAAAUUAUUUGAAACAUUAUUAAAAUAAUUACUAUAGCAUUUUUUAUAAUAUAAUGUAUGUGAGAUGAAAAGGUGAUUGAUUGAAAUCAUGUUUGUAAUGCAAACAUAAUAUUAUUUAGAAUACUUUUACUAUUCA